UGGUGGUUAUAGCGGAGCGGCUGCACCCGAUCCCAUUCCGAACUCGGCCGUGAAACGCUCCUGCGCUGAUGGUACUUUGUCUUAAGACACGGGAGAGUAAGUCGCUGCCA
Molecule: ribosomal RNA, 110 nt
Filed under: Ditibartonella apis
Lineage: Bacteria; Pseudomonadati; Pseudomonadota; Alphaproteobacteria; Hyphomicrobiales; Bartonellaceae
Also listed under: 3 other names
Source: RNAcentral